GCUGGGCGUUGUGGCGGGCGCCUGUAGUCCCAGCUACUCGGAGGCUGAGGCGGGAGAAUGGCGUGAACCCGGGAGGCGGAGCUUGCAGUGAGCCGAGAUCGCGCCACUGCACUCCAGCCUGGGUGACACAGCGAGACUCCGUCUCAA
Unclassified non-coding RNA from Macaca fascicularis (crab-eating macaque), 147 nucleotides. It matches the Rfam family "Metazoan signal recognition particle RNA". Rfam says of the family: The signal recognition particle (SRP) is a universally conserved ribonucleoprotein. The record is from Ensembl. NCBI's taxonomy places the organism in Eukaryota, Metazoa, Chordata, Mammalia, Primates, Cercopithecidae.